GUAGAAAAGAGGCCAUUGUAAUUAAUGAUUGAAGACUACAGUUGGUCAUAUAUUGUCUGUCCUAGCGGCAGUUGAAUCUUUCUAAAAGAGGAAGAAAUUUUUUUCCCCAUUGGGAGGUUUGAUGGAUUUACGUAUACCCAAGCUGGCAGGCACACAAAAAUUAUAAUGAUAUUGCAAUUUGCAAUAGCAAAGUAGAAUGAAAAAAAUUGGAACCCUAGGAAGAGAAUUUCUUAAAAAGAUUCCUAGAGAACAAGAUUUAUGUUGUAUCUAUCGCUGAGGACAUCGGGAUCAUCAUUGGUCACGAGAUAAUCCACUUUAUUAUAUUCUAAUACUAGACGAAGUAAUGAUCAUUUCAAAGACUAAACCAUAUUAAUGACGAUACCAUCCAAGCAUCAGGAAGAAGGAACAUUGUGAACUUGCCAUGAAGAUGCCAGCAUGAUAGGUCUUCCUUUCCAGCCAAGAAGGAGACAACCCUUUUCGCUGGCUAGAGUGUAUCCAUCACAGCCAUAAACAGAAAGCAUCAUUCUAGCUUGGCUCAUGCACUUCAACCCCACUACUUGAAACCCUGCUCUGCCUAAUUGCCUUCUCCAUUGGUCUGCCCUUUCAUGCCUCUCAACCCUAUCAGAACCUUCAUAAGCUACAAUGUUGCGAAUCUCGUCGGCAAAGUGAAGAUUCUCUAUCUUCAUCCUUUGCUGGCUAUUUCGUGGAAGACUAGCCUCAAGGGAAUCAAAAAUUGCUGAAUAGUAGUGGAGAGAUUCAAGAAAUCUCCCAAGAAAAAAAGGACCAUUAUGGUUUGCAUCUUGCUCCACAACAGUAAGUAAGGUUGGAUUUAAUUUCUUGAUUGCUUGGAGAAUCGCCUUGAGGGAGCCUCUACUCUCUUUGACAAACUUGUGCAAGUUCAUAAUGCUAUUGACAAAUAAUGCCUCCCCUUCCCUCAAGUUGAGAUUUUCUGGAGUUAAAAUUGAUGGAGUUAUCUGCUCUGAUAUCAUAUUAAACUCUAAAGAGAUGCCUAAUGAACUAGCAUCCUCCGCCAGCACUUUCAUGCUAGCUUCAAGCUCUAAUAAAUUUUGCUCAUUAUUGACUAAUCCUGUGAUUCGGACUUUAGGUGGCCCCUCAGGCCUUGAUGCUAGAGUUCUGACAAAAGAAGGCCACUGAAGGGUGUGAUCCAUUCCUAGAUCAAUCAAAUGUAAUGAGUCCUUCCCUCUUGCUGCUUGACUUAUAGCUUCGUUUGCAGCCAUGAAUCCAAAAGCAAUGUAAGGAGUUGUUUGAUAAAGGAGUCGAAAGGCUUCCAUUUUCUCUUCCCCAGUGAUCAGUGACACAUCCAUGGCACCAUUUGUGAAAGUACCAUUGGCAUUGACAUUGUGAAGAAGUGACAAUCUUGAUUUCAAACCUAUUGCAAAGCAAUUUGAAACUCUUUGCAAAGAAUCACCCCAAGGAUUAACUGAAGCCCAAAUUCGGCAAAGAAUUGAGUUUGCCAAUUGGGUGUCUCUACAACCCACAGCCUCAGCACACGCCAACAACCUCAGCACACGCCAACAACAAGCGCACCAAAUAAAGGCCUUGGUCUACGUCAUAACUCACCUCUUCAAACCUUGGAACAGCAACAAAAUCUUCAAAUGAGUCGAUGCUUAUCUCCAAUUCAUCUCCUCCUAACAGCAUUGGAACAUCGCCAAAAACAUUGUCCACCAUGGAAAAUGUCUCCAUCUCAUCUUGAAAGUGAUCGAUAAAUUUUGGAACUUCUGGGGGCAUCGAUGAUUAUCAUCUUUGUCUUCUUGAUCCACAUUAACGAAGCUAUCAUCGACCUCAGAAGCAGCUAGGUGAAGAGUGCUGGUGGUGGUAUCAUCAGAAGAAGAGAGCAGUUCAAACUCAUGAUUCAUCAUUGUUUCCUCCAACUCUUCUCCUUGUUCCUGCUCCAUUCAAGCAGGGCAGAACCUUCGAAUGGCAAGAUCAUGGUUGAGACUCUCGUGCAUGGGGAAGGAGAGCCAGCAAUUCAAGGCUUCCAUUGGUCAAAUUCUUGAAGGAGAGGUGGGGGAAGUAAAAAUGGCUAAUCAGACUUUGGAUAUCAGUCACAUAGGAUAAAAUAUAUGGCGUUCCCUUCUCUUAGCUAUGUUGAAUAAGAAUAUUCUAAGUUUUGUCUAAUUGAAUCUUCCACAAAGAAUAUGUUAAAAAUGUGAAGGGUAAUUAGCAGGC
Molecule: unclassified non-coding RNA, 2190 nt
Filed under: Hevea brasiliensis (rubber tree)
Lineage: Eukaryota; Viridiplantae; Streptophyta; Magnoliopsida; Malpighiales; Euphorbiaceae
Source: RNAcentral